CCUACGGGAGGCAGCAGUGGGGAAUAUUGCACCAUGGGUGAAACCCUGAUGCAGCGACGCCGCGUGAAGGAAGAAGGUUUUCGGAUCGUAAACUUCUAUCAGCAGGGAAGAAGAACGUGACAGUACCUGACUCAGAAGCCCCGGCUAACUACGUGCCAGCAGCCGCGGUAAUCCGGAGGGGGCAAGCGCUAGCAGGAAUCACUGGGUGUAACGGGUGCGUAGGCGGUAGGGCAAGUCAGCUGUGAAAACCCGGGGCUCAACCCCGGGAGUGGAGUUGAAACUGUCUUAAUAGAGGGCAGGAGAGGAAAGCGGAAUUCCUAGUGGAGAGGUGAAAUGCGUAGAGAUUAGGAAGAACACCAGGGGCGAAGGCGGCGGGCUGGACGGUAACGGACGCUGAGGCACGAAAGCGUGGGGAGCGAACAGGAUGAGAUACCCUGGUAGUG
RNAcentral lists this ribosomal RNA (443 nucleotides) under uncultured bacterium. RNAcentral describes it as "bacterial SSU rRNA". It matches the Rfam family "Bacterial small subunit ribosomal RNA", at positions 338 to 795 of the family's 1533-position model. The record is from RNAcentral.